Molecule: long non-coding RNA, 6699 nt
Organism: Manis pentadactyla (Chinese pangolin)
Lineage: Eukaryota; Metazoa; Chordata; Mammalia; Pholidota; Manidae
Exons: 5
Source: RefSeq, a predicted model, not a curated record
UUGUUUAAGUAUUUAGUGAAUGAAACCAACAAACCAGAAAGUGAAAUCCAGUGUGAUUUCCUCAUAAUAUUGCUUUCUGUUACCUACUGUGAAAAAUGCUUUACUGAUUCAGAUGGCACAAUUUCAUAGCUAUCCCUGAAUAUAACUGGCCCACCCAAACUAAUACUGUCAAUAUUUUGGACUUUAUACUGCUAGUUUGGGUUGUUCUAAGCUCUCUUUACAUUAUCAUAGGCAUCAUUUUGCCGCUGCAGAUUUCACAUUGUGAAGGUCAUGAGAAAAGUGGGCCAUACUUGACAGUACCUAGGAAGACAGCUGGAAAGCAGGAGUCAGGAGGAGACCACUGAGUUGGGGGCAGGGGACAGAGGGAAGAGUGCAGUCAAAGACUUACUCUUUGACUAAUGAGGCACUAUUAAAAUCUGGAAACGAUCUCAAAUCAAAUACAAAUAUAUUCACAAAGUAAGAGCUCUACACGUACAGCCCAAUUCUUGUGAGAGUUUCCCAAGGACACUUUGCUCCAGAGAAUGUGUGUCCAGUUUCCUUUCCAGUUAGGGCUUUUGAGAGUGAGGAACUGAAUUCUAAACUCACCCAAAGGAAAAGUGACCAACAAAACCACAACCAAGUCAAAAUCACAAACAACAAAUAACUUGGUUAGAAUUUGGAAGCACGAACCUUGGCCCACAGACAAGAACUCUGAAGUGUAUCAGAGUUGAGACUCCAGUCAUAACCAGUCUGAGAAACAGCAUCUGGAAAUGCUAAGAAAUCUCCAGUGCCCCGGGUGAGCAGAAGAUGAACACAAGAAAAACAAGAUUCAGAGGUCACUGGCUUAUCAGAGUGGACAGUGGGUGGAUUCCAGUCUUUGGACAAAACUGUUUUUAAAUCCUCCUGUUGUUGGAUUUGGUGAAGAAGUCUCAAUCACAGAAAAUGCAUUCUAAUAAGGAUUUUUUCCUAUACAGUUUCACAUAUUCAAAUAUGUUUCUUUACAUUUCUUCAAAUUUGAGUGGAAUAAGGAAGCACAGCAUCUAAAGGCACAGAUUUCCAAUUUGAGACCUUCACCAACAAGCUCAGGUAGCUUGAUGUUCUAUGUGGCCAGGACUCCUGCUGAAAUUUCCAGCAUCCCUCAGAAAAGCUGGUGAGAUACCCUUGGGCUGAAUGAAUGAGAACUUUCUGAAGAGCAGGAGAUGGGUGGAGGUCCAGCUGGGAAAACAUGGCAACAGAGGCAGAAAGAGCGCUUCAUGACCAAGAGCUUUAUAAAAAAUAUCUGGAGGCUCAAGGCAGCCACUACAACCUAAGAUCUUACUAAGCAUGAUGUAUGUUCCUACUUCUAGGACUGCCUCCAAUUUACCUGGCCCACAGCCAGUGCCACAUCCUCAGGCGCCCCUGGGGAUGAAUACCAUCACACCACAUCCCACCUCCAAGGCCAGAGUCCCACACUUGCCCCCUCUCCAACCCUGCCUCCCCUACUCCCCACAAUGGAGCACUGGAGAGGGCAGCUUGUUGGGUUGUCCUGAAAGAAAACAAAGUUUGCAAAUCAUUGUAGACAGUUUGUUUUAUAAUAGAUGGGUCAGGCGGGGAAAUGACCAUGGUAAAUUCUCUUCUUAACCACACAUGAACUCAGAGCAUUUUUGAGCUACAACCGCAUAGACUGAGCUCAAGGAACAAAACCAGGCAGUCUGAGUGAGUUUCAGACUAGGACACCAUGAGGAGAUGACUUCCACAGAUAAAUGCAGAGCCUUGAGAUUUUACAUCAGUCCCUCUCUGCCCAAGAUCAUUUUCAAAAUAAUGGAAAAGAACAUUUGAUCUUUCCAUGUUAAUUCUCUAUAAUAUCAUCUCUUAUUGCUAAUGACCACUUGUCACCGUCACUGAGUUUUAAGAACAUUUUAUAUGGAAUGCUGUUUCCCUUAGAAAAGAGAUAAGUUAAGAGGAGAUUAUUCAGAAUUAUAAACUUAUAUAAAUUAUUAUAAAAUUAUUCACACUUUAUUAAGUCUGUAACUUUCCCGAGGAUUGCAAAAGAAAAUAGUAAGUUCCUCUGAAAUACUUAAGUAGUAUUAGUUUUUUUAAAAUUUAGUUAACAGAUUCUUUUAAAAGACACACCCAGAUUGUAUUGGGGGGAUAGAGAUGUACACUUCUUUAUCCUCAACUAUGGUAUCCAUAAUGAAGCCAAAGUUGGCAUACUAUUUUUCUUCAGCAGAUAACACUGUCUCUCUUUUAGCUUCUCUGAUGGAUGUUCUCCUGCCAUUUCCCCUGAGUUGGGCAGUAAUAGAAGUAACAAUUACUGUAGUCACAAAAACCAGAGCCUAACUUUAUUACUCGGUCAUUGUGACUAUUGUCCUGCCACUUUCUCUCUGUCCAAGGACACACAUUUCUAAGGCAUGUAUUUUCAUUACUGGACAGAGAAAAGCCAAUAGGCCAGGCACACACUCCAUACUGAUAUAGCAAUGUCAUGAGCUUUUGAUAAAAAAGAAGCAAAUUAAAGCCCUUUAUGCGUAGGCUGUGUUUUUCCUCAUAGUAACUCAAAGCAAACACCAAGAUGACUAAUGUGUGUGUGUGUGUGUGUGUGUAUAAUCAUUAUUGCAUUAUAUUUUUAUAUGUAAUUAAUACAUAGUAUUUUAAAAAAAUCUUUUAGUAUGUCAUUGGUUCAGAAUGAGUUUUCCAUUUGUCUAGCCAAAGUGGAGGGUGCGUACCCAAGACCAUCUGGGCCUAAUGGGGAAGGAUUUUGAAAGCUCAGCAUUUUCUGGAUGUUCAGAGAAAAGAAAUCAGUUUUCUCAAGUAAAACUUUCCUCUUUUGGGGCACCAGGAAUACAGAGAGAGAUACGUGCUAGGGACUAGCUAAAUGUUUGUUCUUUUUAAUGGAGCCCCAGCUUCCCCUUGGCUGCCUGGCUCUAUUUCACAGGAUACUAGGAGCUCCAAAUCCCUGACUAUAGCCACUCCGAGGUUUAAGUCAUGGGAAAGCAACUCAUGCUCUGUGAUGGCUGCCAGUCCUGCCUCUGCUGCCAUAUUACUGUGUAAACACCGCAAUCAUUUAGGUUGUUACCUUCCCUGUGAAUAGUACUCAUCCCUCAGGAAUGGCUGAAGCUGCCUUUUCUCUGUCUGGAUGUCCCACCAACAUGUGGCUGUCGGCAUCUGAGAGAAGCACCUGUGGGAAGGCGAGCCUUGGGGUAGCAGCAAGCCAGCAGGUCCCUAAGGAUAGACUUGAGAGCUGAAGUCCAGAAGCUAAGUAAUGAAAUCAUACUCUGGAAUGGAGUGGCGGUUCUGACUGAACACAACAGACGAGGUCUAAGUUUGGUUUGGCUGGUGCUCGUCAGCUCGCUGAAAUGACAGUCCUCAUGGAGAAGAAUUUGCCAUUUAUAUAGUUAUCUCUUUGAAGGCAAGGACUGGAGCUUUGAUUUAUCUUGGGAUCCCAAGAGCACCAAGUACAAGAAUUGAAUGAGUCAUGAAUGAAUCUGGUCUGCUCAUUGCUGAUGGCCUUCAUGUUCCAGACAAUCUAGGCAAGUUUGUAAGAAGCACCGAGUACCAGGAACUUUUCUUCUUCUGGGAGCUGAACUGGGCCUUUAAAGGUUAUUUGUAUUGACGAGGCAUAUUUUGUAAGCAUUUAUUUAAUAUGAAUAAGAUGAGGAGAAAAUCCCAACUUACAAUUGAAAAUAAUAAUUACUUGGUGGAAAGAGAGGAUAUUAAAAGAAACAAAGACACUUUCUUUUCUGUCUUUUAAGUUACUAUUUUCUUUAGAGUUAGACUGAGCUGGAAGUUUCCACAGUGGCAGUUUGGUACAUUUGCUCUUUUAGCUUCCCUCCAGAUCUCUCUAUUAGUCCUGACAGGGCACAUGGUACUCUCCUCAUGGGGUAAAUCAAGUUUGUGAGCCUCCACUACCCAAGACCAGGGCAUGGGAUUGGCUUCAUUGUCUAGCUGUGACUCAAUACUUGACACAGAUCUACUAGGAAAUUUCCUCUAUAUUGCCGUCUGUCCUCAGCUCUUUCCUUCCUGUCCACUGACAGCAUUUGAAGGUCACCCUAUUCAUCUUUAGUGCUGGAUGACGGUCCACAUACUAUAGUUACUGAUGUUCAUUCAUAGCUUAUCUCCUUACACCACAAGUCCUAAGUUCUUGGAGAGGGAAGUCCAUUGAUUCAUCUUUAUAUUCCCAUCACAACUAGAUUAGACAUUGAGUAAAUAUUUGUUCUUGAAUGAAUGAAUCAUUCACUGUUUCAACUGUUUUAUGUGUUCAUGCUUCUCUGCAGUCUACUUUCUCAUUUACAAGAUGAAGAAGCUGAACUAGAUUCUGUAAGGUCUUCCCACCUCAGAUUUCCAAGUAUAAUAUGGUUCUUUUUCCUUUACUGACUUCAUGCCCAUCAAAGAGUCAUUCCUGAGAGGUGGUUACAAGGGUUUUAGCCCUAUGCUAAGACAUGGUGGUUUUUGGAUUUAGAUGGAGAGACAGGUAGAACCCUAUGAAAAUAGCCCCAAAUAUGCCGAGCUGCUUAUACUGACAUCUGGAUUGUGUGACAAACCCUACAGAUGAGAGGACAAACAGAAACUCAAUGCCAGGGACACAUGUGUGGACAGUGUCCCUUUAGGAAUUACCUUAUAUUACUCAAAACACCCUGAGUAGGAUUGCAUUUAAAUUGCAUGGGUCCUUAGCAGAUUAUGGCUAUGGAGGAAGGAGAGGGCUUCUUCUCAGCACCACACAGAAAUAUGGCCUAGACCCAUUGUGUUUUGGUAAAUGGUCUGAGGAGGGUCUGGAUACACAAUUGGGUGUCAGCAGGCCAUGAAGAGCCUGCAGUUGCAAAAAAAUACUGGGGCCUUGAGGGAGAGAGCACAGAAAGUCAGGUGUUGGGGACAGAAAAGGGGGAUGAGGAGCUAAUAAUAAGGGCUGGCAUCCUUCAUUCUGCACCUGCAUGUGCUGGGGUUCUGCUGUGGAGAGGGGUCAUGAACAGGCUGGGAUGGAAUGGGAAGUGGAGCCUGGAAGUGGGCUAGAGUCCCUGCCUUAGAACAUGUAAGUACUUCCUGUGGCUUAUCGAUGGGGUGCAUGGAUGUAUGGCAGUGAGUAGGGGGCCAUCUCCCUCCACCAACAGAACUGGCUCUGUCCCUUCCUCUUCCUAAUAGAACUCCCAAGCAUGGGCUUGGGUAAACCCUAAGGAUGCCAUUUGAGGGCUGUGUUAUUGCUGGCCCAUGGCUUCAGGUUCUCAGGUGAUGGAGGCAGCACUCCCUUCCAUGUUAGCCACUCCAGGACCCCACUGGAGAGCGAGACUGAAUGGGGUAAACAGCCAGCGGAAGUGCUGGAGUGGGGUGGGGGUCGUGGGGGACAGGGGCUUUUCAGUUAGCGUGGAGAUACUCUCCUUGAGCCUUUGGCUCUUCACAAUCAAGGCACCAAUUUCAAUUUCUCCAAACCUUAAGACUUCGUGGAAAAAAGGUUGUUAUGCCUGGGAAAGCGGAGUGGGGCUGGGGCAGCUUCAGGAGAUCUCAGGGUGCUGAGCUGAGUGCAUGAUCCCUGUCUCCCACCCCCAAGUCCACAAUCUUAAUGUAGAGGGAGCACUUCUGUCAUGCAUGGUUUCUGUUUGCUAAUUUGUCUGUUUUAAUAAUGCAUUUGAAGUGCCCUUCUCAUUCCCAGAAACCCUUCCUAUGCUGGCAAGGAUUCACCAAAAACAGGACAGCAUGGGAGACCAAACUCAGGAGGUCACAACUUCCCUAUCACAGCCCAGGCUGCAAGCCUGCAGAAGGCUGGGAGCCCUGCUCCAGCCCCGUGGGGGCCUGGCCUAGAGGAAGGAGGAGAGUCAGAGACAGAGGGAAACACCAGGGCCAGGCAGUAGCUGUCCCUAGGCUUAGGUUGUUCUCUCCAGCACUGCCCGGGGCAGGUUCUGGUUGCCUUAAGUCACUUGCAACAUCAGGGAAGUGCCCUUGAAUCUUGGCCUAGGGCUUGCUUUGGGUUUACCCCAGAGGUUCCGUUUGAAAUGCACUUGCACUAAAGGCUUCCUCUUUACAGUUAGUUUCAACAGUGAGUCAAGUUCUCUUCAGUUCUGCAAAUAUUUGGAUUUGGGGCCAGGCCAAAAUACAUGGGUGCGUACGUCACAAAGACUUGUAACAUAGAGUCCCAGAAUUCAAGGGAUUUGCACUGCAGUUGAGGAAACAUGCUCAUUAAAAUAGCAAUAUUUUAUAACUAAUGCUUAAUACUUAUUCAGCCUACAUUCUGCUGUGACACAUACAGUCACUGUCUUCAUCUCCACCAUCUAGUAAGGAGGUAGGAAGAACUGAAGUAAACAAAGAAGGAAGGAACUAGAACAAGGACAAACAGUGAUAUGUCCUGUAAUGAAACAAUGGUGGGAAUCUCUCUUAGACAAAGAGGCAUGGAAGGUCUUUCUGAGGAGGUGACAUUUAAGAUAAGACCAGAAGGAUGGGGAGUGAGGAUUCCAGAGAAAGGGAGGGAAUAGCCUGUGCAAAAGACCUGAGGCAGAGGGAAGCCCUGAAGUAGUUCCAGGAAUCACCAGCAGGCUGAUGGUACCAGGAGGAAGAGGAGGGUGGUGUGAAGGGAAUUAGUGGUGAGCCCUGAGGUGUGUGGACUUCAUUCUAAACUCAUAGGGAAGUGAAGUGGUGACAUAUCCUGGAAUAUGGUUUAAGAUGACCACUCUGUCCCAUGUGGAGAGUGGGCUGGAGGGAUUGUAGAAGCAGCUGCAUGGCGGGAGGGGGGAGGUAGGGGGUGUCAGGGAUGUUUAGACA